RNAcentral lists this ribosomal RNA (879 nucleotides) under uncultured bacterium. RNAcentral's name for it is "bacterial SSU rRNA". It matches the Rfam family "Bacterial small subunit ribosomal RNA", at positions 11 to 883 of the family's 1533-position model. The record is from RNAcentral.
GUUUGAUCAUGGCUCAGAUUGAACGCUGGCGGCGUGCUUAACACAUGCAAGUCGAUCGGUAACAGGUGUAGCAAUACAUGCUGACGAGAGGCGGACGGGUGAGGAAUAUUUGGGAAUCUGCCCAUCAGCGGGGGACAACCCGGGGAAACUCGGGCUAAUACCGCAUACGCUCUACGGAGGAAAGCCGGGGACCGCAAGGCCUGGCACUGAUGGAUGAGCCCAAAUCGGAUUAGCUAGUUGGCGGGGUAACGGCCCACCAAGGCGACGAUCCGUAGCUGGUCUGAGAGGACGAUCAGCCACACCGGAACUGAGACACGGUCCGGACUCCUACGGGAGGCAGCAGUGGGGAAUAUUGGACAAUGGGGGAAACCCUGAUCCAGCGACGCCGCGUGGGUGAAGAAGGCCUGCGGGUUGUAAAGCCCUUUCGGUAGGGAAGAAAUCUCUUGCUCUAACAAAGCAAGGGUUUGACUUAACCUACAUAAGAAGCACCGGCUAACUCUGUGCCAGCAGCCGCGGUAAUACAGAGGGUGCGAGCGUUAAUCGGAAUUACUGGGCGUAAAGCGCACGUAGUCGGCUUGCCAAGUCGGGUGUGAAAUCCCCGGGCUCAACCUGGGAACUGCAUCCGAAACUGGCUUGCUAGAGUAUGGGAGAGGGAGGCGGAAUUUCUGGUGUAGCAGUGAAAUGCGUAGAUAUCAGAAGGAACAUCAGUGGCGAAGGCGGCCUCCUGGACCAAUACUGACGAUCAGGUGCGAAAGCGUGGGGAGCAAACAGGAUUAGAUACCCUGGUAGUCCACGCCCUAAACGAUGACAACUGGAUGUCGGGAGGGUUUGCCUUCCGGUGUCGUAGCUAACGCGUUAAGUUGUCCGCCUGGGAAGUAC